This 264-nucleotide ribosomal RNA is filed under the name uncultured bacterium. Its description in RNAcentral is "partial 16S rRNA". It matches the Rfam family "Bacterial small subunit ribosomal RNA", at positions 1156 to 1417 of the family's 1533-position model. The record is from RNAcentral.
UGUAAAUNUNNGGAAAGGUGGGGAUGANUUCAAAUCAUCACGGCCCUAACCCNUUGGGAACACACGUGNUACAAUGGACGGNACAGAGAGCAGCCANUGCGCAAGCAGGAGCGAAUNUACAAAACCGUUCUCAGUUCGGAUCGGAGUCUGCAANUNGANUUCCGUGAAGCUGGAAUCGCUAGUAAUCGGAUAUCAGCCAUGAUCCCGGUGAAUACGUUUCCCGGGCCUUGUACACACCGCCCGUCAAGCCAUGGAAGCUGGGGG